This 326-nucleotide long non-coding RNA is filed under the name Panicum hallii. RNAcentral describes it as "long non-coding RNA (PHAL_LNC000041)". Lineage: Eukaryota; Viridiplantae; Streptophyta; Magnoliopsida; Poales; Poaceae. The record is from RNAcentral.
GUGAAGCACCAGCAUCCUCUAUGACUUUUCCACCAAGGUUCUCUCUUUCACAAUCUUUUUUAUGUGCAUCUUAAUAUUCAUCUAAUUAUCUCUCUUUGUUUCCAAUAGCCAAAGUGUGCAACCUACAACUAAGAAGAAAAUUAGAAAAGGCACAUUAGAUUCUGGAGACUCAAUCAGGUAAUAUAUGCUUCUAAUUCUGAUGUAUUUUAUUUUGCUGCAAUCAGCCUUGAAUACAAAUCAGUCUUAUUUUAUCUAUAACACUUGAUAAUUUUUAUUUGUUAUACAUAUAUAGAUCCAAGUCAGCAGGUAGUGCAGGUAGUACAGAC